GACGGAGGUGGUAUAAGAAGGGAGGGAUGAGUUGUGCAAAGGUUUAUAUAUAUCUAUGUAAGUGUAAGUGCUUGUAUGUAUGUGUGCGUGUGCGUGUGACCGCAGUAUGCAAGGGCUAACAUCUGUGCCGAGUUACGUGCAUGAUGGCAAGACUAACAAGUGGCAGUAAGUCGAAUAGUGAGGUCGAGGCACGGGUCUUUGCUGCCGUGUGUUUGCGAGUGUGAGUGUGGCGUCUGGUGGGAGAUUCUGAGGUUAAAAAACAUCUGGGAUUUCCUUAUAAGAGCGGCAAGCAGAAGUUGCUUGUGGUGCAGCGAUCUUGUGAGUCACAGUGACGGUGUGGUGACGUGGUGACAUGGUGAUCCCUCAAUUAGAUCACAUUUGUGGGUUAGGGUCAGCACCCCCUCCCCCUCAACCCCCACCCACCCACCCACAAAAAAGAAAAAAAAAAGGAAAUAUAUAUACAUCACGCAUUGCUUUCCUAGAAUGGCAAGAACCUCCUCGAAGGCGAACGUGCAAGAAGACGAAGCGAAAAAAGAGCGAAGAAGCAAAAGAAGGAGCGAAGCGAUGCAGAGGCAAGCGCCGAGUAGGGGAGGCUCGGACGCGGUAUAUGGGUCAUGCAGAGCUUCCCGUCGCGCGAGAGUCUGGACGGAGCGGGUAGGGAGGGUAGCCAUGCAGACCAUACCUGGGUGCCUGACGUCAUGGAUGAGGGGUAAUAUGAGUGAUAGUGAUGCAUGACGAAGCAGGCGAGGAGGAGGCAGGGUGAGGGAGCGGAGGGAGGGAUGUAGCCCUGCAUGAUGUAUGGACGGGCCGACGGCAAGGGUGAGAGGCGAGAGGCUCGUGCAUGGCAGGCUAAGGACGUGCAUGACUCUCUGCAUGUAGACAUUAAGGAGGAGGAGAGCGAGUUGAGUGCAGCUGAGUGCAUGAGUGCAUGAGUGCAUGAGGGUAUUGAUCCUGCAUGCGGGUGCGAGUGCUUGCAGGCGCCGGGGCCAGGCAGAGCGGCCAGCCACAGUUCAUGAGCGGUGCUUGCGGAGGCCGCGUGUCGCCCGCCCGUCUGCCUGCCUGCCUGCCUGCCUGCGCCGCCCUACCGCCUGUUUCUACAUGCCGGACAGCCUGGCCGCCUGCCAGCCCCCGCCCCCCGCAGUGCCAGAUGGGGGGUCACAGUGCCGGGGAUCGAGGGGAUAAGUGCCAGUCUCGCGCCCCGGGAGUGUCCGCCCCGCCCCGCCCCGCCCCCCUCCCCUCCCCCACUCGUGCGGCCGCCAGCCUGGGGGGGGGAGCCGGGGGGGCGGGAGCGCUGACCACCGCCGGCCGGCCGCCUUCGCCUCCUCCGUCCGCGUCGUCGCCGGGCAGCGCGGCGAGCGGGCGUCGCGGCUGGUCAUUGGCCUCGGCCGCGGGUCCAUGCCUGGUGGGCGCCCUGGCCGGCGGGGCGGCCUACUCGCUCUGGGCUGGGCGUGUGAGGGCGGGCGGGGGCGGAGCAGGGGCGGUGGGAGGGGCUAAGGGCGGGCCGAGGGGCGGGCCGAGGGGCGGGCCGAGGGGCGGGCCGAGGGGCGGGCAGGGCUGUGUGUGCGUGCUGUGGUGGGCGGCGGCGGUGUGCCGGGAGGAGGAGGCUGUGCUGCUGUGAAGGGGAAGUGUGAGAGGGGGAGGGCAGGGGGGAUGGGGGGGACGACAGCCCAGACGCUCCUGACAUCUGUCGGCUGUGCUUGCAAGCUCGCGCGGGAGGUACCUUCCCAAGGGGAGCCUGCAUGCAAAGUUACAAUGAAAUGAUCUAAAAUAUAAGGCAAAAGAGUGUUUUAUAUGAGAUAAUAAAGUGGUGAGUGUAUCCCUACCGUGUGGUGUUGGCAGUGCAGAGCCUUGUGACAGUGCUUGCAGUGCAACUAACGGAGAAUUUACCGGGAUUAUUGAGGAAUAUAUAGACUUCGUCAUCCUUGCACAGAGGCCAAGACAGCAGUAGUUAUAGGGGAAUAGUAGUAAUCCUAGAUCAAAACCUCCAGGGACACCGCGGAAAGAGGACGCCAAGAGGACCCCUCCCCCCCUUCCCCCCCUCCCCACCCACCCCAAGAAGAAACAAGAUGGCGAAGAGGAAGGAACCGAAGCGGAGGAACAGCAUCAUCAUCUGCCCGCUUCCCUUCUGCUACUCCUGCUUCUCCUGCUUCUCCUGCUGCUGCGUGGCCAAGGUUCUCUCACGGGCUGCCUUACUUCCUGGAAGGGUUUGACUCUGGUUUGCAAAGACGUCACGGUUAAAGAGGUCACGAUAAAGAGGGUUGAAAUAGGCUUCGAAGGGUAGAGAUAAUGGGGAAAUGUAGAGAUAAUGGGGAAAUGUAGAGAUAAUGGGGAAAUUUAUAGAUAAUGGGGAAAUUUAUAGAUAAUAAGGAAAUGUAGAGAUAAUGGGGAAAUGUAGAGAUAAUGGGGAAAUGUAGAGACGAUGGGGAAAUGAAGAGAUAAUAGGGAAAUGUAGAGAUAAUGGAGAAAUGAAGAGAUAAUGGGGAAAUGUAGAGAUAAUGGGGAAAUGUAGAGACGAUAUGGAAAUGUAGAGACGAUGGGGAAAUGUAGAGAUAAUGGGGAAAUUUAGAGAUAAUAAGGAAAUGUAGAGAUAAUGGAGAAAUAUAUAGAUAGUUGGGAAAGGUAGAGAUAAAGGGGAAAUGUCGGUCCAAAGCAAAUCACCACCAGGUCUAGAGGCUAUUCUCAUGACUUAUUGCUCCCCGUGUAUCUAUGUUAUGGUGUAUUUCAAGACUGUAAGGUGCAUGAUCGAAGUACAUGUCUAUGAUGCUAAGUAAAUUUCCAAAUAAAAGAAGAGAGAGAGGGGGGGGGGGGAGAAGAAGAGAGACAGAGAGAGGAAGGCUGAGAAACAAAAAUGUAAUGAAUAAAUUCUAUACUACGAUCAUCAGCACAGCGUCUUUUCUAAGGAGGAUACGUAAAACGAAUGAAAAACAGUAAUUAAAAGAGUGAUACAUAAUCGUACUUGCUCAUGAGAGAAGUAGAGAAAGAAGACGAGGAAGUGGCAGUGCGAAAAGAUAAAAGAUAAGAAACGUUGAUUAUAUUUCUAGCGAGACAAAGUCAAAAGAAA
RNAcentral lists this long non-coding RNA (3061 nucleotides) under Penaeus japonicus. Its description in RNAcentral is "uncharacterized LOC122263464". The record is from RNAcentral. Lineage: Eukaryota; Metazoa; Arthropoda; Malacostraca; Decapoda; Penaeidae.